CGCGAAAACUAUUUAAGUAGUUGUAUUAUUCUUUUCUUUAUCCAGUAUAGUACCAGAUUAGUCUGUUCUCAUAAAGGGAUAACAUGAUAAAUAAUAUAUCAGACGGUAGAUGAGAAGGUCUAUUGUCAAGAGAGAAACAACUCCAUCCAUAGGUUAAAGUUCCCCAAUUAUAGCUAAGUGAAUUUAAGACAAUCAGCUGAUAAAUACCUUCAUAAUGUAAGAAUAGUAGAUUCUACCCUUAAGAGAGUGGAUAACACCACAAGGAAGAGUUUUAUAAACUUUAGGUCAUAUUGUCAGAAAUGUACGGAUCUCUAUGUUAUAUACUUUAACCAUGGGCAACAAAUGUUGCGGUAGCG
Non-coding RNA from Rhizoclosmatium globosum, 356 nucleotides. Lineage: Eukaryota; Fungi; Chytridiomycota; Chytridiomycetes; Chytridiales; Chytriomycetaceae. The record is from Rfam.